GCAGACUCUCAGGUCAGAUGGUGAGGGCUGAUUGCGGGAGGUGGACAAGAAGUCUGGCCUAAUGACUAAGGACAGCUAACGCCUAACUCCGUUCCUCAUCACUCCACCUGGAAGCAGCGGAACUGGCAACACCUUGGUGCCCUAGACGGAAACCUCAGUCCCGACUGAAGCGUAUUCAUCACCAACACUGGGAUAGCUGCAGCUAGGGCCACACAAUAAAAAUAGCCCAGGACGGCACUGGCUAUCCGCUGCCCCUUCAGCUAUAGAAUUCCUGUCCUUAAUCGCUUUUAGUUCUGUAACUGCUUGUGGAAACAGCUGAUUACUGGACAGGUGGGAGUACGAAAGGCGUUUAGUAAGACUGCAAAUCUGAUGUGAACUGGUAGGACGCAGAGUGUAUGGCAUAGUCAAGAAAGAAGUCAACGCCAGGCGAGGUGCUAUGGCUAAGGGAUUAAUCUUUUGUGUCCCAACUAUGUUGCUCUGACGGUUCCACUUGCACUACUGGUUUUUACUUCAUCGUUAAUCUCUGCUCUGGCCGAUAACAGCCUGCAUGAAAACAUCACCAGUUUUCAAGUUUUUCUCAGGAUGAACAGUACAUAGAAAAGUGAGCCUGAAUGCUGAGAUCCUGAGACCGUGCUGCGGCGCCUGGGAAUUCAUAGAGCAGCUUUUAAGGGGCCACCACUUCUCGCAUCGUGUGCCAUGCAAGUAAACCUACCCUAUCCUGAGACCCUUGCCUGGGGUGACUGGAAGAGCUGCUUCUGUAGAAUCCUGGGCCAGACCAUCUAUCUGGACGAAUAGGAGAAAAGCCUAGUUGUUGUCUCCUGCAAGAUGUAUUCAGUUGUAAUUUCGCCUUUGUUCCUUAAUCUGUUAGUAUGGUAUAUUACAUCGAUUAAUAUUUCAUAUUAAAUCAGUCAUGAAUUCCCAUUAUGAGCCCCACUUGCUCAUGAUUGAAGAUAUUUCUUAUAUGUUGCAGAUUGACUCUUGGUAUUAUUUGUCCAUUUUUGUACUCACCUAGCACACACAUACAAAAU
RNAcentral lists this long non-coding RNA (1028 nucleotides) under Homo sapiens (human). RNAcentral's name for it is "HSALNT0409356". Lineage: Eukaryota; Metazoa; Chordata; Mammalia; Primates; Hominidae. The record is from RNAcentral.